CGCGCAAGCGCGUCUGAGGCCGGGCACUGCAGCUGGGAAGAGGUGCGGCUGCUGCGCUUUGCCCCCAGCCUUCGCGCCAAGGCCGAGCGACUGGCCGGGUCUGGCUGUGGGGUAGCGAGGAGCUGGCCUAAAGGAAAGCGGACUCAAGAAACCUUCCUGCAGCACGCGUUGCUCUGUUAGCAGCCUGCCCCUAAACAGUUUGGGACGAUACGGAGCAACUUGAUAGUAGGAGAAUUUUGUGACCAGGAGAAAGAAAAAGGAAGUGGAGGACGGGCCCUCCCACGUGAGAAGAUUGUAACCCAGACCUGGCACGACGGCCCAGAAGCCGAAAGAAGCAGCGUGAAAAAAAUGAGAAGUUAUGAAGCGAUUAACAGAAGUAGAAAUUAUACACAAGACAAGAACUAAGACAGUUGUAACACGAAAUGAGUUAAAUUGAUGGUAGGUCUACCUUUGACAAUCUUAGCCCUUUUGAUCUUCCAAAACAUAAUACGUUGGACAGAGUCUGACUUAGCUGUUUCUGAACUCUGAUGAGCCUUUAGUAGCAUUUGAGGAGCUUUAAAAGAAACCCCUGAGCCUCACCUCAGAAGAUUUUGAUUCAUAACUACUGUGGGAUCUUGGCAGUGGUAGUUUUCUUAAAUUUUCAAGUUCAUUUUGAUGUGUUAACAAGAAAUUCUACUCACUUGUCUAAGGGACUUGGUUUCCUGUACUUCACCUCAGAAAAAUAAUUACAUACCCUAGACUACUCCAGUUCUCGCAACCUGUGUUGCGUUUAUUUUGUAAUAAUUUGUCUGUUAAUUUGAAGCUUCUGAUAGAUUCAAUUUGUUAUCUUUUGGAAGAAAGGAGUUUUAUGAGGUUCAUAAUUGCCUUUUUGAUUUUACUGAGUUUGAUAAUACUCUCAGUCUUUUAGUCUUUUAGAACAAUUUUAAUGCUUCCCUCAUCUGUUCCUAUAUAACCUUGAGCUUCAUUAAUCAGAGUUAUGAUUGAACGUGAACUGUGUACACAGCCCUGUUUUAAGUAUAUCUGUUUAAUUCACAGAAUAACUUUAUGGGGCAAGUACAAUUAUUAUUCACAUUUUAUAAAUAAGGAACCUGAGACACAUGACAUGAAGCAGGCUGACCAAGCUCAUCUCCUAAGCUAAUGGCAAAGCCCAAAUUUGUGUUCACGCACCUACUUCUCAAUAAAUAAAAGUUUUGCUUUGACACAUAGGCUACCUGUAGGAGUAUGUAGGGAAAUACCCACUUUUUAAAAAUGAUGGUGAGUCUACUUUUGACACUGUUUUAGCACAUUUGGUCUUUUAAAACAUAAUACUCCAAGUAAUUAUAAACAAUGGAACUACAGUGCUCAGUGUGUAGCAGACCAGGAAGUCCAAGCAAGGAGCCAGCAGAUGUAUCUGAUGAGAGCCUGUUCUUCGUAGAUGGUGCAUUUUAGUGUCUUUAAAUAGCAGAUGGGGCAAGCAGGCUCCUCAAUUUUUUUUCCUAUGCUACUGGGGACUGACCUACGGCUUCUUGUAGGCUAAGCACACUCUCACACCACUGAGCUACAUUUCAGUCCCCUCGAACCUCUUUUACAAGGGCACUAAUCCCACUUGUGACUUCUUCAUGUCUGCCAACCCCACUUCUUAAUACCAUUGCUUUGGAUAUUAGCUUUGAACAUACAAAUCUGAAGCACACAUGAAUAUUGACAGUAGAGCAGCAACCUUACCCUGCCUUCAGAUUUGGGAGAGCUUUGAAAAACAGAUUGCUAGCCCUAGAAUCUAGAGCUAACUUGACUGCCCCCUGUCUUUUUCUUCACCCUUACUAAGUUUGUUCUUUCCUAAAAGGAGUUUCAAUUCAUCGGGGAUUGUUUCACCAUUUAAUCUGUGUAACCUGUCACUAUACCGGGCACUGUGCUAGACAUAAGAGAUAUCAAGAAGAUACAAUGCAGAGUCUCAAGAAACAAGCUUAUCUUGGCACCCAAGUUAGGAAUCGCCAUAAUUACUUUGACAAGACCAAAGUAUAGAUGAUUAGAAUAACAAAGGCUUUCAGAAGCUCCCAGUGAAGAAAUGCUUAUUGACAAGGUGCUGAAAUGGAAAAUGUACUGAGUUUUCCUACAAAUAAAUUUAAUUUUCUAAAUUA
Long non-coding RNA from Cavia porcellus (domestic guinea pig), 2114 nucleotides. RefSeq lists it as uncharacterized. The record is from RefSeq and is a predicted model, not a curated record. NCBI's taxonomy places the organism in Eukaryota, Metazoa, Chordata, Mammalia, Rodentia, Caviidae. The transcript is spliced from 2 exons.